Molecule: ribosomal RNA, 303 nt
Filed under: uncultured bacterium
Lineage: Bacteria
Description: partial 16S ribosomal RNA
Rfam family: Bacterial small subunit ribosomal RNA
Source: RNAcentral
AGCACAGCCGCGGUAAUACAGAGGGUGCGAGCGUUAAUCGGAUUUACUGGGCGUAAAGCGUGCGUAGGCGGCUUCUUAAGUCGGAUGUGAAAUCCCUGAGCUUAACUUAGGAAUUGCAUUCGAUACUGGGAAGCUAGAGUAUGGGAGAGGAUGGUAGAAUUCCAGGUGUAGCGGUGAAAUGCGUAGAGAUCUGGAGGAAUACCGAUGGCGAAGGCAGCCAUCUGGCCUAAUACUGACGCUGAGGUACGAAAGCAUGGGGAGCAAACAGGAUUAGAUACCCCGGUAGUCCCUGUCUCUUAUACA